This 609-nucleotide ribosomal RNA is filed under the name uncultured bacterium. Its description in RNAcentral is "partial 16S ribosomal RNA". The record is from RNAcentral.
CUUCACGUCCCCGAGUUGCAGACUCCGAUCCGAACUGAGAUCGGUUUUAUGAGAUUAGCAUCCUGUCCCCAGGUAGCAACCCUCUGUACCGACCAUUGUAACACGUGUGUCGCCCCGGACGUAAGGGCCGUGCUGAUUUGACGUCAUCCCCACCUUCCUCUACCUUACAGUAGCAGUCUUGUUAGAGUUCCCAGCAUCACCUGAUGGCAACUAACAACAAGGGUUGCGCUCGUUAUGGCACUUAAGCCGACACCUCACGGCACGAGCUGACGACAACCAUGCAGCACCUAGUUUCGUGUCCCGAAGGAAAGACCUGUUUCCAAGUCCGUCACUAACUUUCAAGCCCGGGUAAGGUUCCUCGCGUAUCAUCGAAUUAAACCACAUGUUCCUCCGCUUGUGCGGGCCCCCGUCAAUUCCUUUGAGUUUCACCGUUGCCGGCGUACUCCCCAGGUGGAAUACUUAACACUUUCGCUUUACCGCUGACAUUAUAUCGCCAACAGCUAGUAUUCAUCGUUUACUGCGUGGACUACCAGGGUAUCUAAUCCUGUUUGAUACCCACGCUUUCGUGCCUCAGCGUCAGUUGCAUGCUGGUAAGCUGCCUUCGCAAUC